This 263-nucleotide long non-coding RNA is filed under the name Nicotiana benthamiana. RNAcentral describes it as "long non-coding RNA (NBEN_LNC001427)". Lineage: Eukaryota; Viridiplantae; Streptophyta; Magnoliopsida; Solanales; Solanaceae. The record is from RNAcentral.
GCAAGUAACCACUAGAACAAGCAGAAGGAUACUACAUAUAAAAGGGUUUUGGAUAAUAAGACAGAAAAAGUGCAUAAUAUAUAUCAGUUCCACUCUAAGACCUUUCUAUAUCUGGGUGAAUAAGACCUGCACUAAGGUUUUGAGCUCAUCACUUUAAAACCCUAAAUCUCUUAACUGUUUAUUUUAUUUUAUUUUUUGAUUAUGCACCGGGUGUCCGGGUCUCUUCGAGCCCCGACUAAUCCCGAGGGUGCACAGGCCCUUGG